CGCCGGCGUGGAUGGUGAAGUGGCAGUUCUCCCGCUUCAGGUGCUGGAAGGCGGCCAGGUGGCGGGUCGGCGGGUUGCCGAUCUCGCCGCCGGCGA
RNAcentral lists this transfer RNA (96 nucleotides) under Streptomyces roseolus. RNAcentral's name for it is "tRNA-Leu". Lineage: Bacteria; Bacillati; Actinomycetota; Actinomycetes; Kitasatosporales; Streptomycetaceae. The record is from RNAcentral.